This 520-nucleotide ribosomal RNA is filed under the name uncultured Entrophospora. RNAcentral describes it as "SSU rRNA". It matches the Rfam family "Eukaryotic small subunit ribosomal RNA", at positions 569 to 1083 of the family's 1831-position model. The record is from RNAcentral. Lineage: Eukaryota; Fungi; Glomeromycota; Glomeromycetes; Entrophosporales; Entrophosporaceae.
AGCAGCCGCGGUAAUUCCAGCUCCAAUAGCGUAUAUUAAAGUUGUUGCAGUUAAAAAGCUCGUAGUUGAAUUUCGGGAUUGACCCAUCGGUCGUGCCUUAAGGGGUGUGAACUGGUGUAGUCAAUUUCUCACCUUCUGGAGAACCGCGAUGUCCUUAAUUGGGUGCCGCGAGGAACCAGGACCUUUACUUUGAAAAAAUUAGAGUGUUUAAAGCAGGCAUUUUUGCUUGAAUACAUUAGCAUGGAAUAAUAAAAUAGGACGGCAUGAUUCUAUUUUGUUGGUUUCUAGGAUCACCGUAAUGAUUAAUAGGGAUAGUUGGGGGCAUUAGUAUUCAAUUGUCAGAGGUGAAAUUCUUGGAUUUAUUGAAGACUAACUACUGCGAAAGCAUUUGCCAAGGAUGUUUUCAUUAAUCAAGAACGAAAGUUAGGGGAUCGAAGACGAUCAGAUACCGUCGUAGUCUUAACCAUAAAACUAUGCCGACUAGGAAUCAGACGAUGUAAUUUUUUAAUGACUCGUUUGG